RNAcentral lists this small RNA (27 nucleotides) under Bombyx mori (domestic silkworm). RNAcentral's name for it is "ovarian small RNA-4730". Lineage: Eukaryota; Metazoa; Arthropoda; Insecta; Lepidoptera; Bombycidae. The record is from RNAcentral.
CAGGUGAUACCAGGCCACAGCAGCGUA